This is a ribosomal RNA of Coccidioides posadasii str. Silveira, 120 nucleotides long. Lineage: Eukaryota; Fungi; Ascomycota; Eurotiomycetes; Onygenales; Onygenaceae. The record is from Rfam.
ACAUACGACCAUAGGAAGUGGAAAACAGGGCUUCCCGUCCGCUCAGCCGUACUUAAGCCACUUGCCGGUCGGCUAGUAGUUGGGUGGGUGACCACCAGCGAAUCCCGGCUGAUGCCCGUC